This 547-nucleotide ribosomal RNA is filed under the name uncultured bacterium. RNAcentral's name for it is "bacterial SSU rRNA". It matches the Rfam family "Bacterial small subunit ribosomal RNA", at positions 355 to 896 of the family's 1533-position model. The record is from RNAcentral.
UGGGGAAUAUUGCACAAUGGGGGGAACCCUGAUGCAGCCAUGCCGCGUGAAUGAAGAAGGCCUUCGGGUUGUAAAGUUCUUUCGGUGACGAGGAAGGUUAGUAGGUUAAUAGCCUAUCAAAUUGACGUUAAUCACAGAAGAAGCACCGGCUAACUCCGUGCCAGCAGCCGCGGUAAUACGGGGGGUGCGAGCGUUAAUCGGAAUAACUGGGCGUAAAGGGCACGCAGGCGGUGACUUAAGUGAGAUGUGAAAGCCCCGAGCUUAACUUGGGAAUUGCAUUUCAUACUGGGUCGCUAGAGUACUUUAGGGAGGGGUAGAAUUCCACGUGUAGCGGUGAAAUGCGUAGAGAUGUGGAGGAAUACCGAAGGCGAAGGCAGCCCCUUGGGAAUGUACUGACGCUCAUGUGCGAAAGCGUGGGGAGCAAACAGGAUUAGAUACCCUGGUAGUCCACGCUGUAAACGAUGUCGAUUUGGGGAUUGGGCUUUGAGCUUGGUGCCCGUAGCUAACGUGAUAAAUCGACCGCCUGGGGAGUACGGCCGCAAGGUUA